Molecule: non-coding RNA, 165 nt
Organism: Desulfobacterales bacterium GWB2_56_26
Lineage: Bacteria; Pseudomonadati; Thermodesulfobacteriota; Desulfobacteria; Desulfobacterales
Source: Rfam
GUUCCCGAGAGGGCGCGUCCGGAGGAAGCUGGAGCGCAAAACUAUGAGCCGACGAACAGAAAUGGCAUACAAGGCCGAGUCUCCGGGCAAGUCAGCACAACAUGACAAAGCUCCGGGUUUGGGAGCUACGGUAAAUGCCGUGGUUGCAUAGUGAAAGAUUACGUU